ACCAUGCAGUCGACAGGGUAACCACAAUACUUGAGAGUGGCGAACGGGUGAGUAAUAUAUCGGAACGUGCCCAGUCGUGGGGGAUAACGUAGAGAAAUUUACGCUAAUACCGCAUACGAUCUAAGGAUGAAAGCGGGGGAUUCGCAAGAACCUCGCGCGAUUGGAGCGGCUGAUAUCAGAUUAGGUUGUUGGUGAGGUAAAAGCUCACCAAGCCGACGAUCUGUAGCUGGUUUGAGAGAACGACCAGCCACACUGGGACUGAGACACGGCCCAGACUCCUACGGGGGGCAGCAGUGGGGAAUUUUGGACAAUGGGCGAAAGCCUGAUCCAGCAAUGCCGCGUGUGGGAAGAAGGCCUUCGGGUUGUAAACCACUUUUGUACGGAACGAAACGGUUCGCUUUAAUACAGUGGGCUAAUGACGGUACCGUAAGAAUAAGCACCGGCUAACUACGUGCCAGCAGCCGCGGUAAUACGUAGGGUGCGAGCGUUAAUCGGAAUUACUGGGCGUAAAGCGUGCGCAGGCGGUUAUAUAAGACAGUUGUGAAAUCCCCGGGCUCAACCUGGGAAUUGCAUCUGUGACUGUAUAGCUAGAGUACGGUAGAGGGGGAUGGAAUUCCGCGUGUAGCAGUGAAAUGCGUAGAUAUGCGGAGGAACACCGAUGGCGAAGGCAAUCCCCUGGACCUGUACUGACGCUCAUGCACGAAAGCGUGGGGAGCAAACAGGAUUAGAUACCCUGGUAGUCCACGCCCUAAACGAUGUCAACUGGUUGUUGGGUGCAUUAGUACUCAGUAACGAAGCUAACGCGUGAAGUUGACCGCCUGGGGAGUACGGCCGCA
This 836-nucleotide ribosomal RNA is filed under the name uncultured beta proteobacterium. RNAcentral's name for it is "bacterial SSU rRNA". It matches the Rfam family "Bacterial small subunit ribosomal RNA", at positions 53 to 890 of the family's 1533-position model. Lineage: Bacteria; Pseudomonadati; Pseudomonadota; Betaproteobacteria. The record is from RNAcentral.